AGGGUUGUUGACAGAAGAUAGAGAGCACAGAUAGUGAUAUGCAUAAAAAUAUGGAACGGGAAAGCAAUUGCAUCUCACUCCUUUGUGCUCUCUAGGCUUCUGUCAUCCACACCUU
This 115-nucleotide microRNA precursor is filed under the name Glycine max (soybean). RNAcentral describes it as "miR156m stem-loop (gma-MIR156m)". Its record names the gene gma-MIR156m. The record is from miRBase by way of RNAcentral. Lineage: Eukaryota; Viridiplantae; Streptophyta; Magnoliopsida; Fabales; Fabaceae.